UUCCUUAAGUCAAUCUAUAAUAAUAUAAUAUUUUUUUUAAGUAAAAAUUGGUUGUUUCGUAGAAACACGCUCCUUUGGUUAUGUCUUCUGUAAUUUUUGAGCGGUGGUUUGAUGGCAGAACCUCCUUUUUUCUUUGAAUUUUCUUAUCAUAUAUCAAGUACUAUUAGUAAGACAAUUUAUGCUUACUAGAUGAAGUUUAGACUUCAGUUUGUUUUAUGUGUCAUGUCAUACUGUAGAUUCUAUGUACUUGGAAUUCUAUCUAGAAAUUUUUAGAGUCAAUUGUAUUGCCUCGGUAAAUGAACCUUUUGGCAGAUUAAAUCUCGUCGAACUCUUCUAUUAGAUUGAACGUAACGUUGAUCACGAUAUCUUAAGUGUGUGUAUAUUAUAUUUUAAAUCUGUUCUACUAGAAAAUAUAGUGAUUUAUUUCAAUUAUACAGAAAAUUAUAUUUAAUCUUUAUAACUUAACAUUUGCCACUUUACUGCGAACACACGGUUAUAUAUUCAAUUAUACACAGCUACUUGAGAGAGCGCUACAGCGUGAAGCGUCUUAAAAGGGCUAUUAUGCUGUCAUAUUGCCUACAUACUUGUAGGCAUUUAAGCAUUCCUACUUACAUAAAUACUAUAAUUUACAAGUAUAUUUUAUUUCAUGUUAAUCAGUAUGUCUAGAGUAGUUGCUCAUAUUAAAUAAAGGGUGUCUAUAUAUGUAAGUUUUGCAUGCAACAUAUCAGACAAAGCUAUAAAAUAUAAUGCUGAUUAAUGGUAAAUUACCAUAUACAAAUGAUAUUAAAAUUUUUAAUGGUGCCAAUAAAAAAAAAAAAUAAAAAAAAUUAAACAAAAAAUAUUUCAACGAUUCCCCUUCAACAUCCACAUAAAAUCAUUAAUUUCGAAUUUUAAACACAAAAUGGCACACCCUUUACAACUACCUUAUUACACAUGUAUGAUUGAAUAUCAAAGCACACGACCAACCAACUUAUCGUUACAGAUCGACAAUUUUCCAAGCCAUUUUAGUGCUCAUCGCCAGUCGGCAGACGUCAGCCGCCAGGCAAUUGUGUCUGUUUGCUUUAUUUGUUUUGGAUUGCAAUUUAUGCAUUUUAUUUGUGAAAAUUGUGUGAGAAAUGUUUAUUGCACUGCAUUUGUUGGCGUUGCUGCACUCGUUAUCUUGUAACAUCGUACACAUACUAAUUUGAGCAAGUGUAGAUUUGCACGUUUGUGUUGUUGCACUCGUGUGCGCGGCCCGUCUAUCUGAACUAUCAAGCAUGACGCCUUGGAAAAUCACUUGAGUUUUGAAUAAUGGAACUCAAAUCUCCAUAAAUAGCCAUGCAAGUCGAUGCACAAGUAGGCAUUUAUGAAAGUAUAUAUAUGCAUAUGUAUUUAAGUGUAGAGAUUUGAAUUCAGCAUUGUUGUAUUUGAAACCCUGGAGCUUUCGCAUUUGAUUUAUUUUUGCACUAGUUACACUUGCUGUGCAUUGAUAAGUGUAUAUAAAAUUACAAUAGUAAGUUGGGCUUCAAAAGAGAUACAUAUAAAAAUGUGUGUAUACUGUAUGUACAUAUAGCACUCGUAUGCAAUAAAAUUGAUCCAUAUUCAAAGUUUACAGUCUUCGAAGGUAUAAAAAUCUAAAAUGAAGUGUUUUUUCUGGAACCCUUAAAAAUGUAUCUAUCGAGUAUUCCGGCAUCUACAAUCGUUUUCUCUCCAUCGAACUAUAUUUUUGAGAUGUCUCAUCAGACCCCGCUAUAAUUUAUUUGCGAAAGUGAUUCGACAUUGUAGUUAAGGUUAAUGCUGGUUUCCAAGUUGACGAUAUAAAUUAGAGGUUAUGACGGCCAACAGAGAAACACGGCAUAUAAUUCCUCUUCCUCAAAAAUCGUUCGGAAUCAAAUCUACCAUAGAGAUUUUAACCCAAUUUUCAGUAUUACUAAUAUUAAUUUCAUGAAAUUAAGAAAAGAUCUCAAAUCUGUAUAUAAUGGGUGUAAUAUAUAAAUGAUUCUUAAGAAUUAAAUUUUUUUCAAAUAGUUCGGUAAGAACGAUCUUUAUACAUCAGCGCCAUCUAUUGUUUUUUCAGCAUUUUAAUCGAAGCAAUGGAGUAUUCACCUUUGAGCUCAUGGUUUCAAACAUCGAAUAUAGCAAAUUAAGCCAAAUAGACAUUCCUCCGAUUUUUUUUUCGAUUAUUCCUUGGUAAAACAUAUCUAAGGGAUAUAAGAAAUCUGAAAUCGGAUCCAGCAUUAAAAACUUGUAGACAUAAAAUUAUUAAACGUAUAAUAUUUCCACCUCUAAUAAACACUUUAUCUCGUCUUGUUAUUCACACAUAUUGAGGCAGUGAAAAAAUUACUAGAAAUUAACAAAGAAAGAAAUGCUAAAGUCAACGAAAUGCUAUGGAAAUCAUGAAGACAAGCUGAAUUGGUUGCCAAGAUGAUUUCCGAACAAUUGUUUGCACUGUCUGUGAAUUAGCAGAUAAAGGAAAAUUAUGCAUUCACUCACUGGAAAGUGUUUGCAUGCGUAUUAAAGGCAUAUUCAUACAAAUCUACACAGUUUGGUUUGUUUAGCUGCGGAGUUUAUAAAGAGUUAUGACGUCUCCCCACAGCUGACUCCAGACACGACGCUGUAUUGUUGUAACCCUCGUUUUUUGCACGCGAAUUUUCUCAAUGCUUUUCACUCGCUUUUUAUGCAACUUUGCUGGCCAGUUUCAUAUAAAAAGUUUAGGAAGUGCGCAGGCAGCUGACAGAAGACCCAACCUCCCGCGCUUUCCCCCUCAAACUCACGCCACUGCAUUUGCUAUUUGCAGAAAAAUCAAAAAUUCAAAAUCCCGCACUUCUUAUGAGUGACGACGCUUCAGCGACUCUCCCAGUCCUCCUCCUCCGCGGCGUCUCAUGACCAUUGUGGCCGCCAUCCACCUUGAAUUCCACGCUUGGUUAUUCAAUUGUUCGGCUGUUUUGUGGUGGGAUUGUUGGCCCGUUUCGCUGCUUGAGUGGUUGACUGCUUGCCAUAUUAUUUGCUGUUGUUUUUGCUCUUUUCGAUUCGCUCUCUGGUGCAAUAGUUUGCAUUGGUCUGGUUGGAGGAUUCGCUGACAUUCAAAUGGGGGCGCGUGUUGUUUUUCCUCGUACAUACAUAUGUAGUGAAAUUAAUUUUCUAAAUAUUCACAAAUGUGUUUAUGUGUGUGUUGUUGUUGCAUAUUUUUAUGCAUUGUGUUAUGAGUGGCUUUUGUGUUGCAUGCUUGGACGAUUGUGAAGGUCGCUGCACUUUGCGAACCAAUAACUUCCCUUUCGAGUGCUCGUAGUAAUUAUGUUCGUAUUGUAAAUUUGUAAUAAACACACACGUAAAACUAUUCAGCAAGUGUAAAAUUAUUGCGAUUCGCAUUCUUCAUAAUCAAAUAGGAAUCUGGAUUAAUAACACCACAUUUCCUGUAAUCUUCAGAUUAGAUUCAAGACAAUUUUCUUUGCCUCUUCCGUUGAUCUAACUCGCAAAACUUGACCUCAGGAACAUAAACCAGUCCUUCCUUUGAAUAUUACUUGACUCAGGAUUAAAUUUGUUCGAAAUAUUCAACAAAUAUAUAGUGUUCCAAGAAUCCAUAAUUUGUUACCAAUUUAUAUAAAGUUUUGGAACUUAAUCGAAUCGACAUACUGAUCACAAUAAGAUAAACCAUUAUUUAUACCGGGUAAACAUUGCAUAAAGUGACCGAAUUUAGAUUCCAACGGAAGCACACACUGAGAACAUAUCCAAAAGCUUAAAUCAUUUUACCUGAACCUAACUGAUUGUUUUGAUUUUUUAAGACCAUUUUUAAACAAGCUAGACUUCUAAAGGAGUUCGAUAGUUAAAAAAACCAAUUAUGUGACAUCAACAAAGGAAUCGUAUAAUAUACAUAAUUGAUAAUAGUGUAUUUGUUUAUAUAUUUCAUAAUUUUCAUAAAAAGUAACAUAAUAAUAAUUCAAUUUCCACAAUUUAUUUACCCACGAAACAUAAGUGUUUGCUAACUUAUCGAACUACCAGGGGCCCAUGAAAAUCACCAGAAUCACCUGCAAUAACAAACAUUGUACGCCGUUACGCGAAAAUACCUUCGGCAUACCUAUACUGACAUAGCGGAUAGUCAUAUUGGCACUGUUGUUGGGAUUUUUGUUUACAGGAAAAUGUUCACUAUUUGGGAAUGAUUUGGUAAACGAAACAAUUAGUCAUUGCUGAGAAGCCGCAUGGUGUGAACUGAAGCCGGAGAGGCCGACGAAUGAGCAAUAGAAAAAGUUCGACAUCCAGAUUCUGAAAUCCAGAACGAGGCAUUUAAUACUUAAGUUCAUUACAUUAUGGAACAAAGGAAGCUUUAUAAUAUUUCUUAAUGGAACUUGGAUGAUACUGCAAAACCAACCUAUACCGAUAUAAAUACCAUACAAAAGUGGCAAAUAUAUAUUAAAAAAACGUUUCAAUAUUUUUGAAAUUAAAUAUAAUUCUAUAAGAAACAUCUUGAAUUAUUUUGAACGAAUAAAAAAAACAUUUUUUUUUUUU
Molecule: long non-coding RNA, 4482 nt
Organism: Zeugodacus cucurbitae (melon fly)
Lineage: Eukaryota; Metazoa; Arthropoda; Insecta; Diptera; Tephritidae
Exons: 3
Source: RefSeq, a predicted model, not a curated record